Molecule: transfer RNA, 89 nt
Filed under: Virgisporangium aurantiacum
Lineage: Bacteria; Bacillati; Actinomycetota; Actinomycetes; Micromonosporales; Micromonosporaceae
Description: tRNA-Asp
Source: RNAcentral
GGUCAGAUCGGGCGGUGCGGCGGCCCGCUCGCCCAUCGCGCGGGCGUGCUUGGGGAGGAACGCGCCCCGGUUCGCGCCGGCGUCGACCA